RNAcentral lists this ribosomal RNA (253 nucleotides) under uncultured bacterium. RNAcentral's name for it is "partial 16S ribosomal RNA". It matches the Rfam family "Bacterial small subunit ribosomal RNA", at positions 524 to 776 of the family's 1533-position model. The record is from RNAcentral.
UACGGAGGGUGCAAGCGUUAUCCGGAUUCACUGGGUUUAAAGGGUGCGUAGGUGGGCAGGUAAGUCAGUGGUGAAAUCUCUGGGCUUAACCCAGAAACUGCCGUUGAUACUAUUUGUCUUGAAUGUAGUGGAGGUGAGCGGAAUAUGUCAUGUAGCGGUGAAAUGCUUAGAUAUGACAUAGAACACCAAUUGCGAAGGCAGCUCGCUACACUACUAUUGACACUGAGGCACGAAAGCGUGGGGAUCAAACAGG